GGGGUCGUGAGGUAAUGGUAACCUAGUCGGCUCCAGACCGGCAUCUCUGGGUUCGACUCCCAGCGACCCCA
RNAcentral lists this transfer RNA (71 nucleotides) under Candidatus Aenigmatarchaeota archaeon. RNAcentral describes it as "tRNA-Trp". It matches the Rfam family "tRNA". From Rfam's summary of the family: Transfer RNA (tRNA) molecules are approximately 80 nucleotides in length. Lineage: Archaea; Nanobdellati; Candidatus Aenigmatarchaeota. The record is from RNAcentral.